RNAcentral lists this ribosomal RNA (465 nucleotides) under uncultured Klebsiella sp. Its description in RNAcentral is "bacterial SSU rRNA". It matches the Rfam family "Bacterial small subunit ribosomal RNA", at positions 338 to 795 of the family's 1533-position model. Lineage: Bacteria; Pseudomonadati; Pseudomonadota; Gammaproteobacteria; Enterobacterales; Enterobacteriaceae. The record is from RNAcentral.
CCUACGGGGGGCAGCAGUGGGGAAUAUUGCACAAUGGGCGCAAGCCUGAUGCAGCCAUGCCGCGUGUGUGAAGAAGGCCUUCGGGUUGUAAAGCACUUUCAGCGGGGAGGAAGGCGGUGAGGUUAACGACCUCAUCGAUUGACGUUACCCGCAGAAGAAGCACCGGCUAACUCCGUGCCAGCAGCCGCGGUAAUACGGAGGGUGCAAGCGUUAAUCGGAAUUACUGGGCGUAAAGCGCACGCAGGCGGUCUGUCAAGUCGGAUGUGAAAUCCCCGGGCUCAACCUGGGAACUGCAUUCGAAACUGGCAGGCUAGAGUCUUGUAGAGGGGGGUAGAAUUCCAGGUGUAGCGGUGAAAUGCGUAGAGAUCUGGAGGAAUACCGGUGGCGAAGGCGGCCCCCUGGACAAAGACUGACGCUCAGGUGCGAAAGCGUGGGGAGCAAACAGGAUUAGAUACCCGGGUAGUC